UCAAAUCAUUGUGCGUUUUUAACAUUGAAAGAAAUUAUUAAUAUAAGAAAGAGAAGAAAAAAAACACUGAACAGAAGAGAAAAGACAAGACUAACUAAUAAAAAACAUUAUAAAAAUGAAUCUAGUCUUUUAGCUAGUGCACUGACGAAUUUGAAGAUGAAUUAAAAUAAAGAUUCGAUCGCACAGUCUAGCUAGAUGGAGCAUUGAUUCUGAUUAGUCAAGUGUAUUGAUGGAGUCACAUAGACACAACUUGCAUUGAAUUGAAUCUCUCAUCUCCCUGUCCAAUGUAUAUUACACAUACACUUUGAAUACUUGCUAAUCAACUAGAGUUUGAAUAGGUAUCAAAUAAAACUUUGACUGCAUCGACCUUUGUCACUUUUUCAUUAUAGCAACGGUAAACACAAUGAUUGGGUAUCUUGUCUGACCGGUGAAAUUUUGAAUUCAAACUAAUCAAUCUAGUGGCUUUUCUUAUCGGUUCCAUAUAUUGGUUCGCAGAAGCGGUUUAGCAAAAUGAUUGGGUUUUCGUUUUGACUUUUGAGGGUUUAUUGAAUUGUCUAAGAAGAAAAAUUCCUAAACAUACUAAAUUUUUAAAACUACAGUAAAACUUUUAUAAAUUAAUAAAAUUUUAUAGUGAAAUUCCUAAAAUUCUAAUAUUAUUAAUUUAAAAUAAUAUUAAUUUAUCAAUAGAGAGAUUUUCUUAAUUUAAUAAAAAAUUUAAUAACGAUUUCUUUCAUUAUAAAAAAUAAAUGUUAAAUAUACAUGAAAAUGUGAAAUACAUAUGAAUUUGUGAAAUCGCUAAUGACCACAAUUAAAUGGCGGGAUCCAAAAUCCGGUUGGAUUUCACAAUUUCAUAUUAAUUUAGUAUUUAUAAAAAAAAAAAAAAAAAAAAAAGAAAGAGUUGAAAACCUAUUAAGAAAAUAAAAUAAAAAAUAAAUGCUAAAUAUACAUGAAGAAGUGAAAAACAUGUUGGAUUUGUGGAAUCGCUAAUGACCACGGUUAAAUGGCGGGAUCCAAAAUCCGGUUAGAUUUCACAACGUCAUAUUAAUUUAGUAUUUAUAAAAUUUAAAAAAAAAAAAAAAAGAGUUGAAAACCUUUUAAGAAAAAAGAAAUGCUAAAUAUACAUGAAAAAGUGAAAAACAUGUUGGAUUUAUGGAAUCGCUAAUAAGCACGAUUAAAUGGCGGGACCCAAAAUCCGGUUAGAUUUCACAACGUCAUAUUAAUUUAGUAUUUAUAAAACCUUAAAAAAAAGAGUUGAAAAUCUUUUCAAAAUAAUAAUAAUAAUAAAUGCUAAAUAUAAGAAAAACAAGUGUUAAAAAGUUAAAUAAAAUGUAAACCAUAUUGAACCUAGAACAACUCUUAGGGGAUUGGAUGAUGUAUCCAAUUAGUUUACACAAAAUUUAAAAAUUUAACACUUAUCUAUAUAAAAAAAAUCUAAAGUUAUAAUAAAAUAUAGGUGUAAAAACAUUUUACACUUAAACUAAUGAAAAUAUAUAAACAUUUUAGUUAUAUAAAUGUUAUGGUGAAACUAAUUAGUUUUAGUUUUACUUAAAAAUAAUUUUGAAGGAAAAUAAAACAAAAAAAAAAAGAAUGAAAAAAGUAAUACCUUGUUGGAUUUAGUAGCAAAAAGGGCCCAUAGAGCAAAGCCCAUUCCAAAGUCAGAUUUGAGCCCGUCGGUCUUUGGGAGCCCUCUCGUGACAUCAUCCACCACCAUAAAGCUCUCCGCUCUCUUGGCUAUAUCCUCCUCUUUGUAGUCUCCGGUGAAAGCGUCUCUCGUUGGUCAGAUCAUUAUCUGGCGACAUCGAUCUUGAUGACAUAGAUUUGAUGGUUCAAUCACGAAACGAUGAUGAUAUGAUAUCGCUCCGAUCAAUUACGGACGUUUCAGAGAUCAUCACCAUCGGCUUUUACUUGAAUAUCUCUACUUGGAUCAUCAUCGGAAUUCACAGAGAGAUAAAGACAAAAUUGUCUUGAGAAGAGAAUUAGGGUUUUAGAAUAAGAAGAAGCGAGAAAUAGAGAGUUUUGAUUUGUCGAAUUCUUUAGAAGAAGCGUUGAGACUCUCAGUGAGAGAGUAAUUAUUUAUUUAUAAGCGAAGAAAAGGAAACUGAUAAUCACAAUUAACGGUCACAAAAUCUUCUUUUAACGGUCACAAAAAAGAUUUCUUUUGAUAGCUUCUGUUUCCUUUUUUUUGUUUCUCUGACUGUGAGAGAAUUAAUGUGAUGAGUUUUAAUACAUAGACUAUAGCAAUGGUA
RNAcentral lists this long non-coding RNA (2246 nucleotides) under Arabidopsis thaliana (thale cress). RNAcentral describes it as "long non-coding RNA (ATHA_LNC000055)". Lineage: Eukaryota; Viridiplantae; Streptophyta; Magnoliopsida; Brassicales; Brassicaceae. The record is from RNAcentral.